UGUUCAGACCAGGUUUCGAACCUGGGACCUUCCGCGUGUUAGGCGGAUGUGAUAACCACUACACCAUGAGAAC
RNAcentral lists this transfer RNA (73 nucleotides) under Araneus ventricosus. Its description in RNAcentral is "tRNA-Val". The record is from RNAcentral. Lineage: Eukaryota; Metazoa; Arthropoda; Arachnida; Araneae; Araneidae.